This 70-nucleotide transfer RNA is filed under the name Camelus bactrianus (Bactrian camel). It matches the Rfam family "tRNA". From Rfam's summary of the family: Transfer RNA (tRNA) molecules are approximately 80 nucleotides in length. Their secondary structure includes four short double-helical elements and three loops (D, anti-codon, and T loops). Further hydrogen bonds mediate the characteristic L-shaped molecular structure. tRNAs have two regions of fundamental functional importance: the anti-codon, which is responsible for specific mRNA codon recognition, and the 3' end, to which the tRNAs corresponding amino acid is attached (by aminoacyl-tRNA synthetases). tRNAs cope with the degeneracy of the genetic code in two manners: having more than one tRNA (with a specific anti-codon) for a particular amino acid; and 'wobble' base-pairing, i.e. permitting non-standard base-pairing at the 3rd anti-codon position. RNAcentral also lists the same sequence under 2 other names. Lineage: Eukaryota; Metazoa; Chordata; Mammalia; Artiodactyla; Camelidae. The record is from Rfam by way of RNAcentral.
GAAGGUAUAGCUCAGUGGUAGAGCGCGUGCUAAGCACGCAUGAGGUUGGGUUCAAUCCCCAGUACCCCCA